Molecule: long non-coding RNA, 984 nt
Filed under: Marmota monax (woodchuck)
Lineage: Eukaryota; Metazoa; Chordata; Mammalia; Rodentia; Sciuridae
Source: RNAcentral
UGCUAAUCCCCUACCCCCUCCUUUUCCCUCCCACCCCUUGGCCCUAUCUAGAAUUCAUCUAUUCCUCCCAUGUUCCCCCUCCCUACCCCACUAUGAGUCAGCCUCUUUAUAUAAUAGAAAAUAGUCGGCAUUUGUUUUUGGGGGAUUGGCUAACUUCACUUAGCAUUAUCUUGUCUAAAUCCAUUCAUUUACCUACAAUUGCCAUUUUAUUGCUCAGUAAAAUUCCAUUGUUUAUAUAUAGUACUCUUUUUAUCCAUUCAUCCACUGAAGGACAUCUAGUUGAGUCCACAGUUUAGCUAUUAUGAAUUGUGUUGCUAUAAACAUUGAUGUGGCUGUGUCCCUGUAGUAUGCUGUUUAUAAGUCUUUUGGGUAUACACCCAGGAGAGGGAUAGCUAGUUCAAAUGGUGGUUCCAUUCCCAAUUUUCCAAGAAAUCUCCAUACUGUUUUCCAUAUUGGCUGCACCAAUUUGUAACACCACCAGCAGUAUAUGAGUAUACCUUUUUCCCCACAUCCUUGCCAACAUUUAUUGUUGCUUGUCUUCGUAAUAGCUGCCAUUCUGACUGGAGUGAGGUGAUAUCUUAGAGUAGUUUUGAUUUGCAUUUCUCUGAUUGCUAGAGAUGAUGAGCUUUUUUUUUUUAAUAUAUUUGUUGAUUGAUUGUAUAUCCUCUUCAGAGAAGAGUCUGUUCAGGUACUUUGCUAGUAAGGUCCUUCCUGCCCCACUAGAUCUAUAGUUUCAUCUUUUACCACUCUUUAAUUAACCCAUUUGCCAAACUGAACUCACACAGUUCUCUAAACAACAUGUAUUUUUUUCUACCUCUUUUCUUCAUGGAGCAUCUUUGUGGCCAGGCUUACCUUAUUCCUCCGUUCAUCUAUCAUCAGUCAGCUCAACGUCAUUUUCACCCAGUUUCAUUCAAACAACUACUUUUUGUCCUCCUGAUAUUGUCUAUGUCACACAUUCAGUUUUCCAGGUGGACCACACACUUC